This 468-nucleotide ribosomal RNA is filed under the name uncultured bacterium. RNAcentral describes it as "partial 16S ribosomal RNA". It matches the Rfam family "Bacterial small subunit ribosomal RNA", at positions 28 to 507 of the family's 1533-position model. The record is from RNAcentral.
GACGAACGCUGGCGGCGUGCUUAACACAUGCAAGUCGAACGGAAAGGCCCUGCUUUUGUGGGGUGCUCGAGUGGCGAACGGGUGAGUAACACGUGAGUAACCUGCCCUUUACUUUGGGAUAACUUCAGGAAACUUGGGCUAAUACCGGAUAGGAUCUCCUGCUGCAUGGUGGGGGUUGGUAAGUUUCGGCGGUUGGGGAUGGACUCGCGGCUUCUCAGCUUGUUGGUGGGGUAGUUGCUUACCAAGGCUUUGACGGGUAGCCGGCCUGAGAGGGUGACCGGGCAAAUUGGGACUGAGAUACGGACCAGAAGAGAACGGGAGGCAGGAGUGGGGAAUAGUGCACAAUGGGCGGAAGGCUGAUGCAGAAAAGGCGGGGGCGGGAUGACGGGCUGCGGGUUGUAAACCGAAUUAGAAUGAGAAGAAGAGUGAGUGACGGUAAUGGGUAAAGAAGCACCGGCUAACUACGUG